GACGAACGCUGGCGGCGUGCUUAACACAUGCAAGUCGAACGAAGUGGCGAACGGGUGAGUAACGCGUAAUCACCCUGCCCUUCAGAGGGGGACAACCGUUGGAAACGACUGCUAAUACCGCAUACUGAAGGAGGGGAUUGCGUUUGAUUAGCUAGUUGGAGGGGUAACGGCCCACCAAGGCGAGGAUAAGUAGCCGGGCUGAUAGGAGGAACGGCCCAAUUGGGACCGAGACACGGCCCAGACUCCUACGGGAGGCAGCAGUGGGGAAUCGUCCGCAAUGGACGGAAGUCUGACGGAGCAACGCCGCGUGAGUGAUGACGGCCUUCGGGUUGUAAAGCUCUGUUAAUCGGGACGCGGUACCUGAAUAGAAAGCCACGGCUAACUACGUGCCAGCAGCCGCGGUAAUAC
RNAcentral lists this ribosomal RNA (408 nucleotides) under uncultured bacterium. Its description in RNAcentral is "partial 16S ribosomal RNA". It matches the Rfam family "Bacterial small subunit ribosomal RNA", at positions 28 to 526 of the family's 1533-position model. The record is from RNAcentral.